This 426-nucleotide ribosomal RNA is filed under the name Triticum aestivum (bread wheat). RNAcentral's name for it is "partial small subunit ribosomal RNA". The record is from RNAcentral. Lineage: Eukaryota; Viridiplantae; Streptophyta; Magnoliopsida; Poales; Poaceae.
CUUAUCUCCAACAGUCCUAAAAAAGAAAGUCUCUUAUCUCCAACGGUCCGAAGCGGAACACGACGGCCGUCACGAUCCUCGCCGCCACGGCCGGGGAGAAUCGAGGAUGUGCGGGCCGCAGGCGAGCGGCGCCACGGCUUCGUGAGUGGUGGGGGCGGAUGGACACGGACGAGCACCUCUACCUGCUGGGCUCCUGACGCUCCCCGUCUCCCGCUUCGACGCCGACAAGGUAGGCAAGAACGUGUGGCGGCGAUCUCAUUCCACCUCUUCACGCAGAUCACGCAGGUUGGGUUCGGCUCGCGCCUCCUCCCCUCGUCCCAUCUCAGGGCUUGGAUCCCGACGGGAUUUCGAAUUUUCGAUUGGUAUAAUAUUGCAUUGAUAACAAUAUUUGACCUAUCUUGAUAAAAACUGGUACUUGUAAUGCAA